This 313-nucleotide long non-coding RNA is filed under the name Manihot esculenta (cassava). RNAcentral describes it as "long non-coding RNA (MESC_LNC012748)". Lineage: Eukaryota; Viridiplantae; Streptophyta; Magnoliopsida; Malpighiales; Euphorbiaceae. The record is from RNAcentral.
UUCCCUUCAACUUCUCCAAACAUGCAGACUUCAACUAGGCAAUACACAUAUACUCACGUAUAUGUUCACAGGGGUCCAAAACUAUCUAAUAACCCCAAACAACAAAACAACAUAACACAUAAACAUGUAUACAUGCAUAACUCAUCAAAAUCACUUAACAUGCAGCUCUCUCUUCACAACUCCCAUAAAACCUUCAGAAAACACAUAAAAACAUAUUCAAAAACAUCACUUACCUCCUGGUGAGUGAUCUAAACAAAGGAAAACGGAUCAACUCUUCUUCACCCUCACUAACUCUCCAAAGCUCACGAUUUGC